UACGUAGGGGGCUAGCGUUGUCCGGAAUCAUUGGGCGUAAAGCGCGUGUAGGCGGUCCGGUAAGUCCGCUGUGAAAGUCGAGGGCUCAACCCUCGAAUGCCGGUGGAUACUGUCGGGCUAGAGUGCGGAAGAGGCGAGUGGAAUUCCUGGUGUAGCGGUGAAAUGCGCAGAUAUCAGUAGGAACACCUAUUGCGAAGGCAGCUCGCUGGGACGUUACUGACGCUGAGACGCGAAAGCGUGGGGAGCAAACAGG
This 253-nucleotide ribosomal RNA is filed under the name uncultured bacterium. RNAcentral describes it as "partial 16S ribosomal RNA". It matches the Rfam family "Bacterial small subunit ribosomal RNA", at positions 524 to 776 of the family's 1533-position model. The record is from RNAcentral.